CAGUAAACCUGCAGCAUGCUUGGACCUGCUGAGGCCCUGUGCAUUCCUAAAGUGCUUGCUAGAACAGUUUGCAAAUGAUUUGAGGACCUGGCCUGCUCCAUCCAGAGCAAGGAUACAGACCUUCCGUACAAUU
This is a small nucleolar RNA of Lepus europaeus (European hare), 133 nucleotides long. RefSeq annotates it as small nucleolar RNA SNORA9. The record is from RefSeq and is a predicted model, not a curated record. The transcript has a single exon. NCBI's taxonomy places the organism in Eukaryota, Metazoa, Chordata, Mammalia, Lagomorpha, Leporidae.